ACGAAGUUGCUAACGCUAUGCUUCCAGGAAAAGCCUCUAAGCUUCAGGUAUUGGAGAUCGUACCCUAAACCGACACAGGUGGUCAGGUAGAGCAUACCAAGGCGCUUGAGAGAACUCGGCUGAAGGAACUAGGCAAAAUAGUACCGUAACUUCGGGAGAAGGUACGCUCUUUGCUGUGAAGGACUUGCUCCGUAAGCAGCGAAGAGUCGCAGUGACCAGCUGGCUGCAACUGUUUAUUAAAAACACAGCACUCUGCAAACUCGUAAGAGGACGUAUAGGGUGUGACACCUGCCCGGUGCCGGAAGGUUAAUUGAUGGGGUUAGCGCAAGCGAAGCUCUUGAUCGAAGCCCCGGUAAACGGCGGCCGUAACUAUAACGGUCCUAAGGUAGCGAAAUUCCUUGUCGGGUAAGUUCCGACCUGCACGAAUGGUGUAAUGAUGGCCAGGCUGUCUCCAGCCGAGACUCAGUGAAAUUGAAAUUGCGGUGAAGAUGCCGUAUACCCGCGGCUAGACGGAAAGACCCCGUGAACCUUUACUAUAGCUUGGCACUGAACAUUGACCCUACAUGUGUAGGAUAGGUGGGAGGCUUUGAAGUUUGGACGCUAGUCCAGAUGGAGCCGUCCUUGAAAUACCACCCUUGUAUGUUUGAUGUUCUAACGUAGGUCCCUGAAUCGGGAUUGCGGACAGUGUCUGGUGGGUAGUUUGACUGGGGCGGUCUCCUCCUAAAGAGUAACGGAGGAGCACGAAGGUUGGCUAAGUACGGUCGGACAUCGUACGGUUAGUGUAAUGGUAGAAGCCAGCUUAACUGCGAGACAGACACGUCGAGCAGGUACGAAAGUAGGUCAUAGUGAUCCGGUGGUUCUGUAUGGAAGGGCCAUCGCUCAACGGAUAAAAGGUACUCCGGGGAUAACAGGCUGAUACCGCCCAAGAGUUCAUAUCGACGGCGGUGUUUGGCACCUCGAUGUCGGCUCAUCACAUCCUGGGGCUGAAGUCGGUCCCAAGGGUAUGGCUGUUCGCCAUUUAAAGUGGUACGCGAGCUGGGUUUAGAACGUCGUGAGACAGUUCGGUCCCUAUCUGCCGUGGGCGUUGGAUGAUUGAGUGGAGUUGCUCCUAGUACGAGAGGACCGGAGUGAACGAACCGCUGGUGUUCGGGUUGUCAUGCCAAUGGCAUUGCCCGGUAGCUACGUUCGGAACGGAUAACCGCUGAAAGCAUCUAAGCGGGAAGCCGGCCACAAGAUGAGUCAUCCCUCAGACUUUAAGUCUGCUAAAGGGUCGUUGGAGACCACAACGUUGAUAGGUGAGGUGUGGAAGCGCAGUGAUGUGUUAAGCUAACUCAUACUAAUUGCCCGAGAGGCUUAACCAU
This 1361-nucleotide ribosomal RNA is filed under the name Rheinheimera baltica DSM 14885. Its description in RNAcentral is "bacterial LSU rRNA". It matches the Rfam family "Bacterial large subunit ribosomal RNA", at positions 1585 to 2925 of the family's 2925-position model. The record is from RNAcentral. Lineage: Bacteria; Pseudomonadati; Pseudomonadota; Gammaproteobacteria; Chromatiales; Chromatiaceae.